Molecule: long non-coding RNA, 6642 nt
Organism: Loxodonta africana (African savanna elephant)
Lineage: Eukaryota; Metazoa; Chordata; Mammalia; Proboscidea; Elephantidae
Exons: 2
Source: RefSeq, a predicted model, not a curated record
GAGGACUCCCACUGGCGGUAGGCUGCACAAGGCUCACUACUGUGGCGGUAUAAUAGGUUCUAAUAUCAGGUAGUGUAAGGCCUCCCACUUUGUUCUUUUUCAGUAAUGCCUUACUUAUCCGGGGCCUCUUUCCCUUCGAUAUGAAGUUGGUGAUUUGUUUCUCCAUCUCAUUAAAGAAUGCCAUUGGAAUUUGGAUCGGAAUUGCAUUAAAUGUAUAGAUCGCUUUUGGUAGAACAGACAUUUUUAUAAUGUUAAGUCUUCCUAUCCAUGAGCAAGGUAUGUUUUCCACUUAUAUAGGUCUCUUUUGGUUUCUUGCAAAAGUGUUUUGUAGUUUUCUUUGUGUAAGCCUUUUACAUCUCUGGUAAGAUUUAUUCCUAAGUAUUUUAUCUUCUUGGGGGCUACUCUAAAUGGUAUUGAUUUGGUGAUUUCCUCUUCGAUGUUCUUUUUGUUGGUGUAGAGGAAUCCAACUGAGUUUUGUGUUUAUCUUCUAUCCUGAUACUCUGCUGAACUCUUCUGUUAGUUUCAGUAGUUUUCUUGAGGAUUCCUUAGGGUUUUCUGUGUAUAAGAGGAUCAUGUCAUCUGCAAAUAGAGAUAAUUUUUCUUCUUCCUUGCCAAUCUGGAUGCCCUUUAUUUCUUUAUCUAGCCUAAUUGCUCUGGCUAGGACCUCCAGCACAAGGUUGAAUAAGAGUGGUGAUAAAGGGCAUCUUUGUCUGGUUCCUGAUCUCAAGUGGAAUGCUUUCAGUCUCUCUCCAUUUAGGAUGAUAUUUGCUAUUGGCUUUGUAUAAAUGCCCUUUAUUAUAUUGAGGAAUUUUCCUUCUAUUCCUAUUUUGUUGAGAGUUUUUAUCAUGAAUGGGUGUUGAACUUUGUCAAAUGCCUUUUCUGUAUCAAUUGAUAAAAUCAUGUGAUUCUUGUCUUUUAUUUAUAUGAUGGAUUACAUUAAUUGGUUUUCUAAUGUUGAACCAUCCCUGCAUACCUGGUAUGAAUCCCACUUGGUCAUGGUGAAUUACUUUUUCGAUACAUUGUUGAAUUCUAUUGGCUAGAAUUUUUUUUGAGGGUUUUUGCAUCUAAGUUCAUGAAGGAUAAAACCCAGUGCCGUCGAGUCGAUUCCGUCUCAUAGCAACCCUAUAGGACAGAGUAGAACUGCCCCAUAGAGUUUCUAAGGAGUGCCUGGUGGGUUCAAACUGCUGACCUCUUUGUUAACAGCCGUAGCACUUAACUACUACGCCACCAGGGUUUCCUCAUAAAGGAUAUAGGUCUGUAAUUUUCUUUUUUAGUGGUGUCUUUACCUGGUUUUGGUAUCAGGGAUAUGGUGGCUUCACAGAAUGAGUUCGUGAGUACUCUGUCCUUUUCUAUGCUCUGAAAUACCUUUAGUAGUAGUGGUGUUAACGCUUCCCUGAAAAUUUGGUAGAACUCUGCAGUGAAGCCAUCUGGAUCAAGGGUUUUUUUGGUUGGGAGUUUUUUGAUUACCUUUUCAAUUUCUCCUGUGUUAUGGGUCUCUAGUUGUUCUACCUCUGUUUGUGUUAGUUUAGGUAGGUAGUGAGUGUGUUUCUAGGAAUUCAUCCAUUUCUUCUAGGUUUUCAAAUUUUUUAAUUUUUAGAGUACAAUUUUACAUAGUAAUCUGAUAUGAUUCUUUUAAUUUCAGUUGGUUCUGUUGUGAUAUCACCCAUCUCAUUUCUUAUUUGGGUUAUUUGCUUCCUCUCCUGUUUUUCUUUGUCAGUUUGGCCAACGGGUUACCAAUUUUGUUAAUUUCUUCAAUGAAGCAACUUUUGGUAUUGUUAACUCUUUCAAUUAUUUUUUCUGUUUCAUUUAAUUCUGAUCUAAUUUUUAUUAUUUACUUUCUUCUAGUGCCUGAGUGUUUCUUUUGCUGCUCUCCUUCUAUUUGUUUAAGUUGUAGGGAUAAUUCUUUGACUUUUGUCCUUUCUUCUUUCUGUAUGUGUACAUUUAUUGAUAUAAAUUGACCUCUGAGCACUGCUUUUGCUGUGUCCCAAAGGUUCUGAUAGGAAGCGUUUUCAUUCUCAUUGGAUUCUGUGAAUUUCUUUAUUCCAUCCUUAAUGUCUUCUAUAAUCCAGUCUUUUCUGAGCAGGGUAUUGUUCAGUUUCCAAGUGUUUGAUUUCUUUUCCCUGCUUUUCCUGUUAUUGAUUUCUACUUUUACGGCCUUAUGGUCAGAGAAGAUGCUUUGUAAUAUUUCAAUGUUUUGGAUUCUGCUAAGGUUUGCUUUAUGACGUGAUAUGUGGUCUAUUCUAGAGAAUGUUCCAUGUGCACUAGAAAGGAAAGUAUAUUUGGCUGCUUUUGGGUGGAGUGUUCAGUAUAUGUCUAUGAAGUUAAGUUGGUUGAUUGCAGCAUUUAGAUCUUCUGUGUCUUUAUUGAGCUUCUUUCUGGAUGUCCUGUCCUUCACUGAAAGUGGUGUGUUGAAGUCUCCUAUUAUUGUGGAGCUGUCUAUCUCACUUUUCAAUGCUGAUAGAGUUUAUUUAUCUUGCAGCCCUGUCAUUGGGUGCAUAAAUAUUUAAUAUGGUUAUAUCUUGUUGGUGUAUUGUCCCUUUAAUCAUUAUAGAGUGUCCUUCCUUAUCCUUUUUGAUGGAUUUAACUUUAAAGUCUAUUUUGUCAGAAAUUAAUAUUGCCACUCUUUCUCUUUUCUGGUUGUUGUUUGCUUGAUAUAUUUUUUUCCAUCCUUUAGUUUGUUUGUGUCUCUAAAUCUAAGGUGUGUCUCUUGUAGGCAGCAUAUAGAUGGAUCUUGUUUUUUAAUCCAUUCUGCCACUCUCUGUCUCUUUAUUGGUGCAUUUAGUCCAUUUACAUUCAGUGUAAUUAUGGAUAGGUAUGAAUUCAGUGCUGUCAUUUUGAUGUCUUUUUCUGUGUGUUGUUUUCUUUUUCUCACUUAAUUUUAUGCGCUGAGUAGCUUAUCUUUAUGUAUUGUCCUGUCCUCAUAAUCUUUGUUGAAUUUGUUUCUGCUGCGUCUCUAUUUUUUCCUUGUAUUUUAUUUUGAUGUGUAGGAUAGUUUGUCUCCUUUGUGGUUACCUUGUUAUUUAGCCGUAUUUUUCUAAGUUUAAACCUGACUUUCAUUUUUUUGUAUCGCCUUAUCUUCCUCUCCAUAUGGAAGAUAUAUGACUACAUUUCUUAGUCCCUUUUUAUUGUUUUAAUGUUAUCGUUUAUAUAAUAACAUCGCUGUUACCCCAUUUUGAGCAUUUUUUUUAAAUCUUGGUUUGUUUUUUGAUUUCCCUGUCUGAGUUGACUUCUGAUUGCUCUGCCCAGUGUUCUAGUCUUGGGUUGUUAGCUGAUAUUAUUGAUUUUCUUACCAAAGAACUCCCUUUAGUAUUUCUUGUAGUUUUGGUUUGGUUUCUAUGAAUUCCCUAAACUUCUGUUUAUCUGGAAAUGUCCUAAUUUCACCUUCAUAUUCAAGAGACAGUUUAGCUGGAUAUAUGAUUCUUGGCUGGCAAUUUUUUUCCUUCAGUUUUUUAAAUAAGUCAUCCCAUUGCCUUCUUGCCUGCAUGGUUUCUGGCAAGUAGUCUGAACUUAUUGGCUCUCCUUUGUAGGUGACUUUUCGUUUAUCCCUAGCUGCUCUCAAAAUUCUCUCUUUAUCUUUGGUUUUGGCAAGUUUGAUUAUAAUAUGUCUUGGUGACUUUCUUUUAACAUCUGCCUUACGUGGAGUUCGAUGAGCAUCUUGGAUAGAUAUCUUCUCGUCUUUCACUAUAUCAGGAAAGUUUUCUGCCAACAGAUCUUCAAAAAUUCUCUCUGUAUUUUCUGUUAUCCCUCCCUGUUCUGGUACUGCAGUCACUCAUAGGUUCUCUUGAUAGAUUCCCACAUGAUUCUUAAGGUUUCUUCAUUUUUUUAAUUCUUUUAUCCAAUUUUUCUUCAAAUAUAUUAGUGUGAAGGGACUUAUCCUCAAGUUCAGAAAUUCUGACUUACAGUUCCUCAAUUCUGCUCCUCUGACUUUCUAUUGUCUACUUCUGUAACUUUUUUAAUCUUCUGAAUUUCUGAUUGGUGUCUGUCUAUGGAUUUUUCCAGCUUAUUAAAUUUUUUAUUGUGUUCCUGAAUAAUCUAAUUUCUUCAAUUGCCUUAUCUGUGUGUUCCUUGGCUUGUUCUGCAUAUUGCCUCAUUUCCUUCCUGAUGUCUUGAAGGGUUCUGUUUAUUAAUCUUUUGUAUUCUGCCUCUGGUAAUUCCAGGAAGGCACUUUCAUCUAGAAGAUCCCUUGAUUCUUUCAAGAGCUUGUUGAAACGAUCAUGGUCUGUUUCUUUACGUGACUUGGUAUUGACUGUUGUCUGUGAGCCAUCUAUAAGUUAUUGUAUUAGUUUAUGUUUGUUUACUGUGUCAUAGCUUCUUGCUUUGUUUAAUUUUGAUAUGCCCAAAUUAGUUGCUUGAGUGAGCUAGUUUGACUAUUUUUGCCUUUGGAGCUCUGACAUCCUACCCUAGAUGGCUAGAGCUGUCAUCAGUUGUAUCAGUCUAGGAGUCCAUUCACUUUUUUUGUAUGAAUUCAGCUCAGGUGUCCAGGUAGCUGAUCAUGAAGUGUGUGGUACAGGCUCUGUCCUAUAGUCUUAGAGGGGCAGGGGUGAUUGGUGUAGGUACUAGUAUCUGGUUGCAGCAGGGGGUCACACUUUGUGAACAAGGUAUGGGGCUGAGACUUGUCUCCCAUGUGUCUGUGAGGAAAGCAUGUCCCUGAUCCCUAGAGCUUACAGGUGGGUGGGGGCUGCAGAUGGACCAUGGGCACCCAAUGUUUUUGGUUGUAAUGGCUGGGAGGUACCAGUUAUCCUUGGACCCUGUCGCGGGAGGGUGGGUGACCUGAGUGGAGCUACCAGUCCUCAAGCCCCCUGAUGUGGGUAGGUGAGGACCCUGUUUAAUAGACAGUGUCAAACACCAAACACCCAACUCUCCUCUGCACCGCUGAUAUGGUUGGAGUCUGCCAACAAGGGCCUGUUCUCCUGAAACAGGCCCACACAGGUCCAUGCAAAGGGGAAAGAUACUCAAAGUCCAUGGACCGUUCAUGCCUGGACAGGAACCGUUUCUGUUUCUGAACUCCCCCAGUUGGUGGAGCUAGAGAAUUAUCCUUUCCCCCAAUUGCAAAUGUAUUCCUUCUCCAAGGCUAGAAGGAUGGCUCCAGGCACUCAACAGGCCCUAUCUCAGGCCCAGGGAAUUCAUCUGCUGAAGCCGGCUUGGGGGUGGGCAGGGGCAGUAAAAUGUGCAAGUACUUAGCUUUUGCCGAGAGCACCGUUCUUCUCUGGUUCCCAAGGUGUGAGUGGGCUUCAUGACUGGCUUCUUUUCCCUUAGGAAACUGCGGCUGAACACUAGUACCAGCCUGACGCCAUUGCUCCGGAAAUGGUGCCUGAGGGUUCCCCGUGAUUCAGAUCUGUACUGAUGUCUGCAGUCGGUCUCAACCCACCUGGAGCAAAGGAGAAUGAAGAACAUGAAAGACACAGGGUAAGUCUGAGCCCAAGAGUCACAAUGAGCCACGUAAAUCAAAGGCUAUAUCAGCCUGAGACCAGAAGAACUAGAUGGUGCCCAGCUACAACCGAUGACUGCCAUGACUGGGAGCACAACAGAGAAUCCCUGAAGGAGCAGGAGAGCAGUGGGAUGCAGACCCCAAAUUCUAGUUAAAAAGAUCAGAUUUAAUGGUGUGACUGAGACCAGAGGGAUCCUGGAUGUCACGGUCCCCAGACCUUCUGAUAGCCCAAAACAGGAACCAUUCUCAAAGCCAACUCUUCAGACAGGGAUUGGACUGGACUACAACUCAGAAAAUGAUACUGGUGAGGGGUGGGCUUCUUGGAUCAAGUAGACACAUGAGACUAUCUGGGCAGCUCCUGUCUGGAGGGGAGAGGUGAAGGCCGAGGGGGAUAGAAGCUGGCUGAACGGGCUCGGAAACACAGGGUGCAGCGAAGGAAUGUGCUGUCUCAUUAGGGGGAGAGCAACUAGGAGUAUACAGCAAGGCAUAUAUAAGGUUUUGUACGAGAGACUGACUCGAUUUGUAAACUUUCACUUAAAGCACAAUAAAAAUUAACAAAAAAAAUUACAUACUGAAUGUCUGAAGUCUGGACUUUGUAUUUUUAUUUCUAUAUGCUUAGUAGUUAAAACAGUGUCUGGCACUUAGUAUGUAUGCUACAAUGUAUUUGUUUAAUAAAUAAAUAUCCUGGGUGAAAUGUUAAAAAAAAAAAAACAAAAACUACUGAUGUCUUGGUAUGUCUGAGGUCAGCAGGAACACUGGUCAGAAUAGUCCCAGCUUUCAUAAGAAAAUACAAUCAGUUUAACCGAGCUGAUGAUUCUUUUGAUAUGAGAAUUAUGUUUGAUUUCAGAAGCAUAAUGAAAAAAAUGCCUAAGAAAACAACUUUGUGUCUAAAACAUGACACAUUUGUUACAUAAGAUUGGAAAAAGUAUAAACGAAAAAAAAAUUUUUUUCAAGAAAGAAUGACCAUGGUUUACAACCCAAAUCUCCCAAUUCAACAUUAAUUUCCUUCUGCGAAAUUUCUGACAGUAAGCAGAAAUUGGGCUGAACAACUGAACAAGUCUACAAAGGGCAAUAUUGCUCUGGUGGGAUUAACUCUGCAGAUUGGUACUUUAUUUAAUAGACAGCAUGGACAUCAUACAAAUCCAUUAUCAGUGCCUUUAAAACCAAAAAAAAAAAACAAAAAACAAAAAAAAAACUUUAAAAGUUAGCAGCAG